This 1317-nucleotide ribosomal RNA is filed under the name uncultured bacterium. RNAcentral's name for it is "16S ribosomal RNA". It matches the Rfam family "Bacterial small subunit ribosomal RNA", at positions 30 to 1394 of the family's 1533-position model. The record is from RNAcentral.
UGAACGCUAGCGGUGCGCCUAACACAUGCAAGUCGAGCGGUAGAAUUUCUAGCUUGCUAGAAAUUUGAGAGCGGCGAACGGGUGAGUAACACGUUGGUAUCUGCCCCCAAGUCAGGGAUAGCCAUUGGAAACGAUGAUUAAUACCGGAUAGUCUCUUCGGAGUAAAAAUUUAUUGCUUGGGGAGGAACCUGCGGUCUAUCAGCUAGUUGGUGAGGUAAUAGCUCACCAAGGCUAUGACGGAUAUCUGGUCUGAGAGGAUGACCAGACACAAUGGAACUGAGACACGGUCCAUACUCCUACGGGAGGCAGCAGUGAGGAAUCUUCCACAAUGGACGAAAGUCUGAUGGAGCGACACCGCGUGAAGGAUGAAGGCCUAACGGUUGUAAACUUCUUUUCUGAAGGAGCAUAAUGAGAGUACUUCAGGAAUAAGGGACGGCUAAAUACGUGCCAGCAGCCGCGGUAAUACGUAUGUCUCAAGCGUUACCCGGAAUCACUGGGUGUAAAGGGUUCGUAGGCGGUUUAAUAAGUUGGAUAUGAAAGACCGGAGCUCAACUCCGUGUAUGUGUCCAAAACUGUUAAACUAGAAUCAGGGAGAGGUAAGCGGAAUUCUAAGUGUAGGGGUGCAAUCCGUAGAUACUUAGAAGAACACCAAAAGCGAAAGGCAGCUUACUGGAACUGUAUUGACGUUCAUGAACGAAAGCGUGGGUAGCGAAAAGGAUUAGAUACCCUUGUAGUCCACGCCCUAAACGAUGAUAACUAAGUGUUGUGACUUGCUCGCAGUGCUGAAGCUAACGCGUUAAGUUAUCCACCUGAGGAGUACGGUCGCAAGAUUAAAACUCAAAGGAAUAGACGGGGACCCACACAAGCAGUGGAUCACGUGGUUUAAUUCGACAAUAAACGGGGAACCUUACCCAGACUUGACAUCUACCGAAUUUUCUAGAGAUAGAAAAGUGCUUUUAUUAGAGCGGUAAGACAGGUGCUGCAUGGUUGUCGUCAGCUCGUGCCUUGAGGUGUUCGGUUAAGUCCGUUAACGAGCGCAACCCAUGUCUUUAGUUAUUAUGUCUAAAGAGACUGCCUUGGUUAACAAGGAGGAAGGUGUGGAUGACGUCAAAUCAGCAUGGCUUUUACGUCUGGGGCUACACACAUGAUACAAUGGUAUGUACAAAGAGCAACAAUAUGGCGACAUGGAGUUAAUCUUUAAAGCAUAUCUCAGUCCGGAUUGAAGUCUGAAACUCGACUUCAUGAAGUUGGAAUUGCUAGUAAUCGUGAAUCAGAUAUGUCACGGUGAAUAUGUUCCUGGGUCUUGUACUCACCGCC